GGACAUUCGAAGCAGCAGGUCCCAGGGAGGGAAUGGCAGUCAGUUCAUUGUUGUUCAGUUGCACUUCCUGCAGGUUCAACAGCUCUGCAAAGGCAGAAGGAUCAAUCUCGGUCAACUUGUUGUAGCUCAGGUUUACGUGCCGCAGCCCGGGGGACAGCUCCCGGGGCACCUCGGGCAGCCCCAGCCCGCCGCAGCGCAGCCGCUCCUCGUCGCAGACGCAGCCGUCGGGGCAGGCGGCGGCCGAGCCCAGCAGCACCGCCAGCAGCAGCGGCAGCGCGGAGCCUCCGCCGCUCCGCGACGGCAUCACCGCCAUUUUGUAUCCGGCACCGGCGAAGGUCCGAAGCGGAGCGGAACGCGGUCCCGGCUCGCAGCGCCCCGAGCGCUCAGCGCAGCUCCGCCGCCCGCGCCAUCGCCUCGGCCGCCGGCCCCGCGGGGCGCUCAGGGCAUCCGCCGCGCAGGCGGCGCGGCGCGGAUCCGCGGUCCCUCCGCCGCCGCCACGAGCGCUUUCUCUCGGCUGCCGCCGCCCGGCUCCGGCUCCGGCCCGCCGCCCGCUCGGCACUCCCGCGGGACCCCGCACCCCGUCCCGACCCCGCCGCUCCGCUCGCCGCGGGCCCACG
Molecule: long non-coding RNA, 617 nt
Filed under: Gallus gallus (chicken)
Lineage: Eukaryota; Metazoa; Chordata; Aves; Galliformes; Phasianidae
Source: RNAcentral